CCUACGGGUGGCAGCAGUGGGGAAUAUUGCACAAUGGGGGAAACCCUGAUGCAGCGACGCCGCGUGAGCGAAGAAGUAUUUCGGUAUGUAAAGCCUUAUCAGCAGGGAAGAAAAUGACGGUACCCGAUUAAGAAGCCCCGGCUAACUACGUGCCAGCAGCCGCGGUAAUACGUAGGGGGCAAGCGUUAUCCGGAUUUACUGGGUGUAAAGGGAGCGUAGGCGGCAGCGAAAGUCUGAAGUGAAAUGCCGGGGCUUAACCUCGGUAUUGCUUUGGAAACUGUGCAGCUAGAGUGCAGGAGAGGUAAAUGGAAUUCCUGGUGUAGCGGUGAAAUGCGUAGAUAUUAGGAGGAACACCAGUGGCGAAGGCGCCUUACUGGACUGUAACUGACGUUGAGGCUCGAAAGCGUGGGGAGCAAACGGGAUUAGAUACCCUUGUAGUC
RNAcentral lists this ribosomal RNA (440 nucleotides) under uncultured bacterium. RNAcentral's name for it is "partial 16S ribosomal RNA". It matches the Rfam family "Bacterial small subunit ribosomal RNA", at positions 338 to 795 of the family's 1533-position model. The record is from RNAcentral.